Molecule: long non-coding RNA, 109 nt
Organism: Phycodurus eques (leafy seadragon)
Lineage: Eukaryota; Metazoa; Chordata; Actinopteri; Syngnathiformes; Syngnathidae
Exons: 3
Source: RefSeq, a predicted model, not a curated record
UGGUCACAGUGAUUUAGCAUGACAAUACUGACCGGAUCCAAUUUAAGAAACUGAGGAUGAUGACAGUACCUUGGUUCUAGCCGUGACGGUCGAUCCUUGGCUUUCUCCG